This 252-nucleotide ribosomal RNA is filed under the name uncultured bacterium. RNAcentral describes it as "partial 16S ribosomal RNA". It matches the Rfam family "Bacterial small subunit ribosomal RNA", at positions 524 to 776 of the family's 1533-position model. The record is from RNAcentral.
UACGUAGGUGGCAAGCGUUAUCCGGAAUUACUGGGCGUAAAGGGUGCGUAGGUGGUUUCUUAAGUCUGGUGUAAAAGGCAGUGGCUCAACCAUUGUAUGCAUUGGAAACUGGUAGACUUGAGUGCAGGAGAGGAGAGUGGAAUUCCAUGUGUAGCGGUGAAAUGCGUAGAUAUAUGGAGGAACACCGGUGGCGAAAGCGGCUCUCUGGCCUGUAACUGACACUGAGGCUCGAAAGCGUGGGGAGCAAACAGG